UUCCAACUGAUGAGUCUUAAAUAGGAUGAAAUGCACGUCUAGGAU
This 45-nucleotide non-coding RNA is filed under the name Trichobilharzia regenti. Lineage: Eukaryota; Metazoa; Platyhelminthes; Trematoda; Strigeidida; Schistosomatidae. The record is from RNAcentral.